GCAAACUUGGUCAUUUAGAGGAAGUACAAGUCGUAACAAGGUAUCCGUAGGUGAACCUGCGGAUGGAUCAUUAAAGAAAGAUUUAUAUACGUCUGUGAACGGGGUGAGUGUGUGUGGGAUGGAAGGUGGGUGAAUGGUGGGUGGUUGGUGGGGGUGAUAAGGGAGAGUGUUUUCUCUAUCACUACCUGCCACCCAUCUGCCACCACCUGCUGCCACCUCGCUGCAUCCACCCCAAUAUCACGUUGCUUCUAAGGAACUGAGUUUUCUUGCAUAUACAUGGUAAUGAAAACAACUUUUAGCAAUGGAUCUCUUGGCUCUUGCAUCGAUGAAGAACGCAGC
This 339-nucleotide unclassified non-coding RNA is filed under the name uncultured fungus. Its description in RNAcentral is "partial contains small subunit ribosomal RNA, internal transcribed spacer 1, and 5.8S ribosomal RNA". The stretch from base 1 to 73 matches the Rfam family "Eukaryotic small subunit ribosomal RNA", at positions 1759 to 1831 of the family's 1831-position model. Lineage: Eukaryota; Fungi. The record is from RNAcentral.